This 806-nucleotide unclassified non-coding RNA is filed under the name Hevea brasiliensis (rubber tree). The record is from RNAcentral. Lineage: Eukaryota; Viridiplantae; Streptophyta; Magnoliopsida; Malpighiales; Euphorbiaceae.
UUAUUAUUGAAUUGGACUGCUCUCAGUUGCCAAAAUGCCACUGAUAUAUUCUCUGUUUCCUUGAUUGUUCCCAUUUUAAAAAGAGCUCUGUGAAUUUGAACAGUAAAAUAUUUAUCUGUAUUGGAGUUUAGCAGAUUCAGAAUGUGAGAGUACUGGGAAGGGAUGUGGGCAGGCAGUGCUCAGAGACAUUAUCGUAUUGAGAAGGGAUGGUGAAAGGGAAAAUGGAGAACAUUCCCUGUUUCAUGGAGAGAGUAGAGGCCGGAAACCUCCAAUCACCUCCUAUCCUUUUAAAAUGGGAAAUAGGGAAAAAGAAAAUUGAAAAAAAAAAUUAAAAGAAAAACUCCUUACCUAAAAAAAAAGAAACAAGGGAAUCCAAAAAAGGCUAAUUAGUGUGUUUCUUCCAUGAACACCUUUGCCAAUUUUAGCUACCAUACCCAACAACAACAAACAAAACGAGUACAAUUUUUAUGUAAAAUUGAGUAGUAUUUGAAGAAUCUUUAUCAUUUGCUUAUAACUCUGAAGCCCGACCUCUUCAAAUGAAAUCCUCCUCUUCUAGAGUGCCCAAACACUUUCACUUCCCCUUCUUAUCAUCAUUGCUAGUGUCAUUAUCAUCACAGGUUCCUUUAGUGUUUCAACUUUCAUUUUGUCCUCUAGUCCUAGUUAACUCAUGAAAAAAUCAUACAACUUAUGGGCCUCCUGAUGGCCUGUGCAGAAGGCCAAAUUUGCUCAAGAAAAUAAACUAAGCUUAUGAAUGUCCUUAUCAAGUUUAUCAAUUACUCAGCAUUAUGUUAUGCUUAAGACAGCUG